This 254-nucleotide ribosomal RNA is filed under the name uncultured bacterium. RNAcentral describes it as "partial 16S ribosomal RNA". It matches the Rfam family "Bacterial small subunit ribosomal RNA", at positions 524 to 776 of the family's 1533-position model. The record is from RNAcentral.
UACGGGGGAUGCAAGCGUUAUCCGGAUUUAUUGGGUUUAAAGGGUGCGUAGGCUGUGAGGUAAGUCAGCGGUGAAAUGCCCCCGCUCAACGGGGUGAAGUGCCAUUGAUACUGCCUUGCUGGAAUGCGGAUGCCGUGGGAGGGAUGUGUGGUGUAGCGGUGAAAUGCAUAGAUAUCACACAGAACACCGAUUGCGAAGGCAUCUCACGAAUCCGCUAUUGACGCUGAUGCACGAAAGCGUGGGUAUCAAACAGG